GAUGAACGCUGGCGGCGUGCCUAAUACAUGCAAGUCGAGCGUACGGACGAGAAGCUUGCUUCUCUGAUGUUAGCGGCGGACGGGUGAGUAACACGUGGAUAACCUACCUAUAAGACUGGGAUAACUUCGGGAAACCGGAGCUAAUACCGGAUAAUAUUUUGAACCGCAUGGUUCAAAAGUGAAAGACGGUCUUGCUGUCACUUAUAGAUGGAUCCGCGCUGCAUUAGCUAGUUGGUAAGGUAACGGCUUACCAAGGCAACGAUGCAUAGCCGACCUGAGAGGGUGAUCGGCCACACUGGAACUGAGACACGGUCCAGACUCCUACGGGAGGCAGCAGUAGGGAAUCUUCCGCAAUGGGCGAAAGCCUGACGGAGCAACGCCGCGUGAGUGAUGAAGGUCUUCGGAUCGUAGAACUCUGUUAUUAGGGAAGAACAUAUGUGUAAGUAACUGUGCACAUCUUGACGGUACCUAAUCAGAAAGCCACGGCUAACUACGUG
RNAcentral lists this ribosomal RNA (497 nucleotides) under uncultured bacterium. RNAcentral describes it as "partial 16S ribosomal RNA". It matches the Rfam family "Bacterial small subunit ribosomal RNA", at positions 28 to 507 of the family's 1533-position model. The record is from RNAcentral.